UAUGGACGUUCCUCCUUGCCUGGGUGCAUACAACAUACGAAAGUGCUUGUGUGAAUUUUUUUCAGCGCAGUACGGACCCCAGAAUGAAAUUGCAGAAAUUAGGCCGCAAUUUCACAAGUUUCGUCCGCCUUGGUUUUACAAAAUUUCUGAAAAAUUCUUCCGGAAUGGUUUUUUCCUGAAAUUCCACCCAAGAAUCUCCACUGAAUUUGGGACAAAACG
Molecule: long non-coding RNA, 219 nt
Filed under: Phaseolus vulgaris (common bean)
Lineage: Eukaryota; Viridiplantae; Streptophyta; Magnoliopsida; Fabales; Fabaceae
Description: long non-coding RNA (PVUL_LNC005293)
Source: RNAcentral